AGUGAACGCUGGCGGUAGGUCUAACACAUGCAAGUCGAACGGCAGCACAGUAAGAGCUUGCUCUUACGGGUGGCGAGUGGCGGACGGGUGAGGAAUACAUCGGAAUCUACUUUUUCGUGGGGGAUAACGUAGGGAAACUUACGCUAAUACCGCAUACGACCUACGGGUGAAAGCAGGGGAUCUUCGGACCUUGCGCGAUUGAAUGAGCCGAUGUCGGAUUAGCUAGUUGGCGGGGUAAAGGCCCACCAAGGCGACGAUCCGUAGCUGGUCUGAGAGGAUGAUCAGCCACACUGGAACUGAGACACGGUCCAGACUCCUACGGGAGGCAGCAGUGGGGAAUAUUGGACAAUGGGCGCAAGCCUGAUCCAGCCAUACCGCGUGGGUGAAGAAGGCCUUCGGGUUGUAAAGCCCUUUUGUUGGGAAAGAAAAGCAGCAGGUUAAUACCCCGCUGUUCUGACGGUACCCAAAGAAUAAGCACCGGCUAACUUCGUGC
Molecule: ribosomal RNA, 493 nt
Filed under: uncultured bacterium
Lineage: Bacteria
Description: partial 16S ribosomal RNA
Rfam family: Bacterial small subunit ribosomal RNA
Source: RNAcentral